This 44-nucleotide ribosomal RNA is filed under the name Sinocyclocheilus grahami. The record is from RNAcentral. Lineage: Eukaryota; Metazoa; Chordata; Actinopteri; Cypriniformes; Cyprinidae.
GCCUGGUUAGUACUUGGAUGGGAUACCGCCUGGGAAUACCAGGU